AAAAAAGGAAGUAAAUAAACAAAGGAAAACUUCCACCCGGCCGCGUCGAAGACACUCUCCCCGCAGCCACAUCUGCUCUGCCCCCUCCCACGACCUAGGGUUAGCCGUCGCCGCCGAUGACUCUAUCGGUGAGCUCCGGCAGCCAUGGCCUGCGCACGGGACGUUGCCGAGCUCACGUAGACAUGCUGCGUUGAUCCCUCCGCCCAGAUCCGUCCAUCCCUGCCUACAAUGCUCGUGCCCAAUCCACUCCCCGCGGUUAGGGUUUGGGGUGCGACCUCGUCUCCGCCACCUGCGUGCCUCUGGCGAGCUCCGUUGGCCAUGGCCGACGCGCAGGACGCUGCCGAGGUCACCUCGUCGUGCUGUGUUGAUCCAUCCGAGCAGAUCCAUCCCUCCACGCCUCCAACGCUCAUGCCCAAUCCAUCCGCAGUUAGGGUUUGGGGCACGGCCUCGUCUCCGCCACCGGCGGUCUUCUACGUCGCUUGAUUUGGGAAGAAAAUUUCAUUUUUCCAUUGUACAAUUUCUGAACUGAAUGGUUUGUUUUUAGGGGCAUCAGUUUGGUCUAUUCCGUGACCAGACAAAAUGAGUAGAAGGGGAUGAGGAUGGAGUAGAAGGUGUAAAAGGACGAGAAAGACGAGAAACGGGCAAGGGAGGUGGGGCGAUCUGCAUGCCUAUGGAGAUCUAAAUGUUUCUUGUUUAAUCCUUUUUUAUGUUGCAUGCUCUCUGAUUUUAGAGUAGAUUGCUUUACAGCAUGUUGAAUAGAUUUGGGCAUGUUCAUUUUUCUAUGGUGACUUGGGUUUGACCAGAGAAAAGAGGAACGCUUUCUUAGAGAGCAAAUCUAUGGUGCAACCGUCGUCCAGGUCCAUCAAAUCAGCAGCAGCUUGGGUCUGAAGGUGCGCCUCAUGUUUAGCUAAAAAUAGUUAAGUGUGCAAUAUGCAUUAUUAGUGGAGGUAAAGCAUUUCCGACCAUGUGCAAUUACACAACUAUGAAUUCUCCUCUAGACACGUGAUUGAAAAUCUACCAUCAUAGUAUAUUGUUCCAUGUCAAUCAGUAUAUGUCACCGUCCACAUUAUUCACUUCAGUUCUGCAUGGUCAUGCACAAACAUACAUAAUAUAUUUGUGUAUAUGAACUGAACUUGUACUUAGGUACAAAUUCAGAAAUCAACACUUGUAGUAGCACCAGAUCUGAAGGCGCAGCUCAUGUUUUUUGCUUAAAUAGUCAAGUGUGUGAUAUGUUAUUAGGUAUGCACAAAACGUCUUUUAAUAGUGUAAAGAGGGUGUAUGUGUUAUAUUACCAAUAGGUCAAUGUUUUGCUCCCCCUCCCCUGCUUUGUUCGAUUUGGUAGCCCUGAUGCAUAAGCGAUCAUGGCUUGGUUCCCUCAUGCACUUUCUAAUGCGUGCAGGUGGCGGUGCAGGACACAGCCACCUUGUGAUUCUUCUUCCACUCCGAUGAAUCCAGUCGUUCUUCUUCCUCUCAGGCAUAUAUGGAGAGCAUAUCUACAGAAGAGAAAAAACUCGAUGGAAAUCAUGGUCAUUACAGGCCCAUAGAACUUGUUACGCUCCAGGGGCACCAAGAGUUGGUUGUGCAAAGCUUGUUUUUGGGUUUGUUCAUUUUUCUAAGAAAGCGUUCUUUUUUCUCUUUACAACAGAUAAAAAUUGGUGACUUGCUUUCUAAGGAAGCGUUCCUUUUACUAUUCAUUUCAUCACAGAUUUGGUAGCACUUUUAGGUUGGUGCCGUUGAACAAGCUAUUAAAUUUAUCCUAUACUGUAAGAAAAAAAAGUGAACUCUUUUUUAUACUGUUGUUUCUCAUGGUCCGCAAUGAAUGUUCGCGUUGAUUCUUUGCCAUGUUAUCUCAUGCGUAGGACUUGAGCAUCUGGAAGAGUGAACUUGUUUACAAACAUGAUAUGUAUUGCAUCAUCCCUUUGUGCAAUAUUUUACUAUUUCCUUGAUAUUCAAUGACACGGUUGUACCGAAGCCGUACAAAUCAAUGUGAAUGAGCUCUGUUAUAUAUUACCAGUCUGUACAUAUUUGAAUGUGCUUUUGAUGGGCGCACACAUGUGCUAAUUUUGUUUUUAAAUUGAUUACAUUACUUGUGUAUCUUCUCUUUAGUUGCAUCUCAUUUUUACAUUACAUUUAGUAGGAGGUGUUGCAUACUCUAUUUGGAGGAGUCUGAAGAAAAUGGUUCAUCUUGCUGCACAACCCAUCAGAUAAAGAAAAUGGUUCAUCUUGCUGCACAACCCAUCAGAUAAAAGUAUACAAGCAAUGAGCGUACCACUCAGAGACAUGAAGUAGGAGGACGAGCAGCUGCUGUAAAUCACUACAAGGAAUAUGCUAAUACACAACGUUAUAUUUUCGUCGCUACAUCGUCACGGUUUUUAGUUUACAACGAUCUUACGACGAAAAACCAAGCGUCGAAAACAGAGCGUCAGAAAUGAACAACAUCGACGUUUUGAUCGAAAUCGUCGUAACUUUUACGAUGAUUCCUGGAUCGUCGUAACCUUUACGACGAUCUUAAAUUAUCAUUGGCAAUCUAACCCAGUCCUACGUGGCAAAAUUACGAUGAAAUCAAAACGUCAAGGUUGAAAUCAGUCCAACCCAUUUCAAUUGAUCACAUGGGCUGAUUUUAUUUUCUUGAGCUUUUUUUUAUUGGGCUUCUUUUUGGCCCUUAACCUAUUUACAACCACUUUAAUAUAUAUUUUUUAAAUUCUUUUUGUAUCCUUAUAAUUUGGGUCCCGGCCUUUUAUUGCUCAAAUACAUUUGGUCCAGUUU
Hordeum vulgare subsp. vulgare (domesticated barley) is the source of this 2766-nucleotide long non-coding RNA. RefSeq lists it as uncharacterized. The transcript has 4 exons. The record is from RefSeq and is a predicted model, not a curated record. NCBI's taxonomy places the organism in Eukaryota, Viridiplantae, Streptophyta, Magnoliopsida, Poales, Poaceae.